RNAcentral lists this ribosomal RNA (460 nucleotides) under uncultured bacterium. RNAcentral describes it as "SSU rRNA". It matches the Rfam family "Bacterial small subunit ribosomal RNA", at positions 26 to 523 of the family's 1533-position model. The record is from RNAcentral.
AGGAUGAACGCUGGCGGCGUGCCUAAUACAUGCAAGUCGAGCGGUAAGGCCACUUCGGUGGUACACGAGCGGCGGACGGCUGAGUAACACGUAGGAACGUACCCCAAACUGAGGCAUAAGCACCAGAAAUGGUGUCUAAUACCGCAUGUGCUCUUCGGAGUAAAGCUUCGGCGGUUUGGGAACGGCCUGCGCAUGAUUAGCUUGUUGGUGAGGUAAUAGCUCACCAAGGCGACGAUCAUUAGCUGGUCUGAGAGGAUGAUCAGCCAGACUGGGACUGAGAACGGCCCAGACUCCUACGGGAGGCAGCAGUGGGGAAUAUUGCACAAUGGGCGCAAGCCUGAUGCAGCGACGCCGCGUGGGGAUGAAGGCCUUCGGGUUGUAAACCCCUUUCACCGAGGAGCGAAUUCAGACGGUACCUGGGAAGAAGCGCCGGCUAACUACGCGCCAGCAGCCGCGGUAA